GUGCUUGCUUCGGCAGCACAAAUACUAAAAUUGGAACAAUAUAGAAAAGAUGAGCGCGGCCCCUGCGCGAGGAUGACACGCAAAUUCGUGAAGCGGUCCAUGUUUUU
Small nuclear RNA from Fukomys damarensis (Damara mole-rat), 107 nucleotides. The record is from Ensembl. Lineage: Eukaryota; Metazoa; Chordata; Mammalia; Rodentia; Bathyergidae.